Molecule: ribosomal RNA, 535 nt
Filed under: uncultured marine eukaryote
Lineage: Eukaryota
Description: SSU rRNA
Rfam family: Eukaryotic small subunit ribosomal RNA
Source: RNAcentral
GACGUUAAAAAGCUCUUAGUUGGAUUUCGGAGUGGGCCAGUUGGUCCGCCGCAAGGUGUGUUACUGACUGGUUUGCUCUUCUGCGCAAAGACUGCGUGUGCUCUUUGUUGAGUAUGCGUAGGAUUUACGUCGUUUACUUUGAAAAAAUUAGAGUGUUCAAAGCAGGCUAUUGCUUGAAUACAUGAGCAUGGAAUAAUGGAAUAGGACUUUGGUCCCAUUUUGUUGGUUUCUAGGACCGAAGUAAUGAUUAAGAGGGACAAUUGGGGGCAUCCGUAUUUCGUUGUCAGAGGUGAAAUUCUUGGAUUUGCGAAAGACGAAUAACUGCGAAAGCACUUGCCAAGAGUGUUUUCAUUAAUCAAGAACGAAAGUUAGAGGAUCGAAGACGAUCAGAUACCGUCCUAGUUCUAACCAUAAACGAUGUCGACUAGGGAUCAGCGGGCGUUAUCGUACGACCCCGUUGGCACCUUACGGGAAACCAAAGUUUCUGGAUUCCGGGGGAAGUAUAGUCGCAAGGCCGAAACUUAAAGGAAUUGAC